GGGGAAAGAAUAUAAUGAUGGAUUCUAAGAAACGAUCGAUAAUUAUCUCAAAUGGGGGCAAAAAAGUUUACAAAGGGUCAAGUUUAUUCAUUAAACACCAUAAAAUGAAACAAUCAGAAGAACCCUCAUUACACACUACUAAAAGAAUAAAUAUGGGUCAAAGACGACGAUUGCAUAAUAUAUGAUAAGAUGAUUCAGCUCCAACAACAAAGCGUCAUUGAAGGAGAUCCAAGAGAUAAAAUUGAUAUUUAUAAUGAGAUUUUUGGAACAAGAUUAAAAAGAAAAUACACGGGUAUCAUGACUUCUGGAGAUUCGCUUCAAAGCCCAAGCAAAUGCAAUCCGGAAGAUGCAAGCAGAUAUUGCAUUACUAGAACAAGAGAUGUUGAUUUAAAUGUUGAACCAAAUAG
Molecule: long non-coding RNA, 407 nt
Organism: Papaver somniferum (opium poppy)
Lineage: Eukaryota; Viridiplantae; Streptophyta; Magnoliopsida; Ranunculales; Papaveraceae
Exons: 4
Source: RefSeq, a predicted model, not a curated record